UACGAAGGUUGCAAGCGUUACUCGGAAUUACUAGGCGUAAAGGGUAGGUAGGUGGUUUGGUAAGUCUACUGUGAAAGCUCCCGGCUCAACUGGGAGAGGCCAAUGGAUACUACCAGACUUGAGUAUAGGAGAGGUUACUGGAAUUCCCGGUGUAGCGGUGAAAUGCGCAGAUAUCGGGAGGAACACCAAUGGCGAAAGCAGGUAACUGGACUAUUACUGACACUCAACUACGAAAGCUAGGGGAGCAAACAGG
This 253-nucleotide ribosomal RNA is filed under the name uncultured bacterium. RNAcentral describes it as "partial 16S ribosomal RNA". It matches the Rfam family "Bacterial small subunit ribosomal RNA", at positions 524 to 776 of the family's 1533-position model. The record is from RNAcentral.